RNAcentral lists this ribosomal RNA (424 nucleotides) under uncultured prokaryote. Its description in RNAcentral is "bacterial SSU rRNA". It matches the Rfam family "Bacterial small subunit ribosomal RNA", at positions 355 to 796 of the family's 1533-position model. The record is from RNAcentral.
UGGGGAAUAUUGGACAAUGCGGGCCACCGUGAUCCAGCAAUGCCGCGUGAGUGAUGAAGGCCUUAGGGUUGUAACGCUCUUUUACCAGGGAUGAUAAUGACAGUACCUGGAGAAUAAGCUCCGGCUAACUCCGUGCCGGCAGCCGCGGUAAUACGGAGGGAGCUAGCGUUGUUCGGAAAUACUGGGCGUAAAGCGCGCGUAGGCGGCUAUCCAAGUCAGGGGUGAAAUCCCGGGGCUCAACCCCGGAACUGCCCUUGAAACAAGGUAGCUAGAAUACUGGAGAGGUGAGUGGAAUUCCGAGUGUAGAGGUGAAAUGCGUAGAUAUUCGGAAGAACACCAGUGGCGAAGGCGACUCACUGGACAGUUAUUGACGCUGAGGUGCGAAAGCGUGGGGAGCAAACAGGAUUAGAUACCCCGGUAGUCC